Paramuricea clavata is the source of this 800-nucleotide non-coding RNA. The record is from the annotation of a GenBank genome assembly. NCBI's taxonomy places the organism in Eukaryota, Metazoa, Cnidaria, Anthozoa, Malacalcyonacea, Plexauridae.
CUCUCCCAUUGACAAGUAAAAGUAGGGCAGGCAAAAUACAGUACCAAGCAAGAUGUAUGGAAAUUGAAGACACAAAAGCUGGAUUAAUUUUGAACUAUUUUAAUUGGACUUCUUCAAUACAGUAAAAUUAUCAACAGUGAAUAAUUUUAAAUUAACACUAAAAUUAUUGUAAUUAAGUAUACAUGAUGUAGUGGAGUAUGUGUUAACUUAAUUCAGGGGUGGAUUAAUAGGGAGGGUGCACACCCCUGUUGGCCUUGGUCAACAGGGGUGCAAUAAAAUCAAAUUCAGAAACAUGGCAUAAUUUCCAAGGUUUUCCCUUUUUUGAAGUCAAACUGAAGCUCAUAAUUCAAUGUCCAUAUCACAGGAAAUAGCAUUUCUACGGAUCUAAUUUUCAAAAUUUUCUGGGGGCAUAUCCCUCAACCCCCUAGGGAGCUUGCACCUUUAGUGCUUGAGUCGUUUCGCUCCCACCAAAAAAUUUCUCUCCCCCUAAAAAAUUAUAAAGAAACACUUGGCUGCUCACCCAUCACCCCCUAGAAAAACCUUGCUGGAUCCACCCCUGAAGGCUUUCAAGUAAUACUGUAAUAGCAGGCAGCGCAGUACUUAUCAUAUCAUGCAAAUAAUUAUCAUAUUUAAUUGCACAGAUCCCAUAUGUAUAAACAAACACGAGCAUGCAAUGCAUUGUAGUUGACAAUGAUUCUUUAAUUUAAGUAACUUAAUAAUAAACAAGGUUUAUACUUUUAUAAGUUAAUUAUCAUCACCAUCAUAGACAGAUUUUCAAAUUUUGCUUGGGGAGUGUGGGU